Long non-coding RNA from Cloeon dipterum, 304 nucleotides. RefSeq lists it as uncharacterized. The record is from RefSeq and is a predicted model, not a curated record. Lineage: Eukaryota; Metazoa; Arthropoda; Insecta; Ephemeroptera; Baetidae. The transcript is spliced from 3 exons.
UCGCGUCCCUCUGCGCUCUCGGUUCUUUUGCCAGAGCCAAUGAAUGCAGAGCUCAACGAUUUGUCCAUUUCAUCAGGAAAUACAACAAAGAGUAUUCUUCGCCCGCGGAAUUCUUCUCUCGGAUGAAAGCGUACCUGAGGAACUGCCGCGAAAUUUAUGAGCACAACGAACGCUAUAAAAAGGGCCUGGAAACCUUCGAAAAAGGAAUCAACCAGUUCGCCGACUCCUACGAGGACGAGCGAUAUUUUACCGGGGAAUUGCCGACCGAUGAUCCAGAGGAGUUUGAUACCUUGCCGUCUGAUUU